AGUGAACGCUGGCGGUAGGCCUAACACAUGCAAGUCGAACGGCAGCACAGUAAGAGCUUGCUCUUACGGGUGGCGAGUGGCGGACGGGUGAGGAAUACAUCGGAAUCUACUUUUUCGUGGGGGAUAACGUAGGGAAACUUACGCUAAUACCGCAUACGACCUACGUGUGAAAGCAGGGGAUCUUCUGACCUUGCGCGAUUGAAUGAGCCGAUGUCGGAUUAGCUAGUUGGCGGGGUAAAGGCCCACCAAGGCGACGAUCCGUAGCUGGUCUGAGAGGAUGAUCAGCCACACUGGAACUGAGACACGGUCCAGACUCCUACGGGAGGCAGCAGUGGGGAAUCUUGGACAAUGGGCGCAAGCCUGAUCCAGCCAUACCGCGUGGGUGAAGAAGGCCUUCGGGUUGUAAAGCCCUUUUGUUGGGAAAGAAAAGCAGCAGGUUAAUACCCCGCUGUUCUGACGGUACCCAAAGAAUAAGCACCGGCUAACUUCGUG
Molecule: ribosomal RNA, 492 nt
Filed under: uncultured bacterium
Lineage: Bacteria
Description: partial 16S ribosomal RNA
Rfam family: Bacterial small subunit ribosomal RNA
Source: RNAcentral